GCCCAUGGAAUACUAAUGGAUAUGAUGUGAAUAGUGGCAAGAAACGUGCAUAUGUCUUUUUAUUCUUCCAUCUCCAUGAGAAGAGUAUGCCCUGAGAUGCUCGCUGGUUUCAGAAACAAGAUAGAUACUGGUCUGAAGGAACACUCCAACAAACCUAUAGGCACCGAGUGUAAAUGAUGACUGCCAACUCCGGACGCUGUGUGACUGGGAUGUCUGCCCACUUGGGGAGGCGCUCUCAGCAGGCGCUUACAGAUGCGUGUCUCCUUCUUGUCUCCUGUCCUCCCUUCCGUCUUAGGUUCAAUGUUAUAGUUGAAUUUUAGAAAAAACGAAUGUUUGAGAAGAGAAAAAAACUGGCCUGGAGUUA
Manis pentadactyla (Chinese pangolin) is the source of this 364-nucleotide long non-coding RNA. RefSeq lists it as uncharacterized. Lineage: Eukaryota; Metazoa; Chordata; Mammalia; Pholidota; Manidae. The transcript is spliced from 2 exons. The record is from RefSeq and is a predicted model, not a curated record.